GCGAGCGUAGUGUAGUGGUUAUCACCUGGCGUUGCCAACGCCAGAACCCGGGUUCAAAUCCCGGCGCUCGCACCA
This 75-nucleotide transfer RNA is filed under the name Methanobacteriota archaeon. RNAcentral's name for it is "Euryarchaeota archaeon tRNA-Gly". It matches the Rfam family "tRNA". From Rfam's summary of the family: Transfer RNA (tRNA) molecules are approximately 80 nucleotides in length. Their secondary structure includes four short double-helical elements and three loops (D, anti-codon, and T loops). Further hydrogen bonds mediate the characteristic L-shaped molecular structure. tRNAs have two regions of fundamental functional importance: the anti-codon, which is responsible for specific mRNA codon recognition, and the 3' end, to which the tRNAs corresponding amino acid is attached (by aminoacyl-tRNA synthetases). tRNAs cope with the degeneracy of the genetic code in two manners: having more than one tRNA (with a specific anti-codon) for a particular amino acid; and 'wobble' base-pairing, i.e. permitting non-standard base-pairing at the 3rd anti-codon position. Lineage: Archaea; Methanobacteriati; Methanobacteriota. The record is from RNAcentral.